AAGCCCGGGCUUGCCCGGGUGGAAAGUGGCGAACGGGUGCGUAACACGUGAGCAACCUGCCCCGAAGACCGGGAUAACAGCGGGAAACCGCUGCUAAUACCGGAUGCCCUCAUCAUGUCGCAUGGCGAGAUGAGGAAAUGGAUUCCGCUUCGGGAUGGGCUCGCGGUCUAUCAGCUUGUUGGUGAGGUAACGGCUCACCAAGGCUACGACGGAUAGCUGGUCUGAGAGGAUGUCCAGCCACACUGGGACUGAGACACGGCCCAGACUCCUACGGGAGGCAGCAGUGGGGAAUCUUGCACAAUGGGCGAAAGCCUGAUGCAGCGACGCCGCGUGCGGGAUGACGGCCUUCGGG
Molecule: ribosomal RNA, 352 nt
Filed under: uncultured bacterium
Lineage: Bacteria
Description: bacterial SSU rRNA
Rfam family: Bacterial small subunit ribosomal RNA
Source: RNAcentral